GCCCUCGUAGCUCAAUUGGACAGAGCAUUGGUCUUCUAAACCAAGGGUUGUGGGUUCAAGUCCCGCCGGGGGCG
RNAcentral lists this transfer RNA (74 nucleotides) under Chloroflexota bacterium. RNAcentral's name for it is "Chloroflexi bacterium (anaerobic digester metagenome) tRNA-Arg". It matches the Rfam family "tRNA". Rfam says of the family: Transfer RNA (tRNA) molecules are approximately 80 nucleotides in length. Their secondary structure includes four short double-helical elements and three loops (D, anti-codon, and T loops). The record is from RNAcentral. Lineage: Bacteria; Bacillati; Chloroflexota.